GACCGCCUUUCGGGGCCGAGGCCAUACGGACAGCCGGGUCCACUGCCGA
Molecule: small RNA, 49 nt
Filed under: human gut metagenome
Also listed under: 1 other name
Description: Streptococcus sRNA SpF59 (ldcC RNA)
Rfam family: Streptococcus sRNA SpF59 (ldcC RNA)
Source: RNAcentral